UACUACUGACAAAGUGUUCACUGCAGAUCCUUGAAUGGCUUUUGGGAAUCCAAGGUAUCCCAUCUUCCUCAUUCCUGUGGAUUGCUUUAAACCAAAGUUUUUUC
This is a long non-coding RNA of Thalassophryne amazonica, 104 nucleotides long. RefSeq lists it as uncharacterized. NCBI's taxonomy places the organism in Eukaryota, Metazoa, Chordata, Actinopteri, Batrachoidiformes, Batrachoididae. The record is from RefSeq and is a predicted model, not a curated record. The transcript is spliced from 3 exons.